GGCUCAGCUGGGAGAGCGCAUCGCUGGCAGCGAUGAGGUCAGGGGUUCGAUCCCCCUAGGCUCCA
Molecule: transfer RNA, 65 nt
Filed under: Paenibacillus sp. N3.4
Lineage: Bacteria; Bacillati; Bacillota; Bacilli; Caryophanales; Paenibacillaceae
Description: tRNA-Ala
Rfam family: tRNA
About the family: Transfer RNA (tRNA) molecules are approximately 80 nucleotides in length. Their secondary structure includes four short double-helical elements and three loops (D, anti-codon, and T loops).
Source: RNAcentral